Molecule: ribosomal RNA, 553 nt
Filed under: uncultured eukaryote
Lineage: Eukaryota
Description: eukaryotic LSU rRNA
Rfam family: 5.8S ribosomal RNA (bases 166-318)
Source: RNAcentral
ACUAGUGAUUUCCGUAGGUGAACCUGCGGAAGGAUCAUUCGCACAAAGAUAUAUUCUAUUCCACCCGCCACGCACCAUACAGUGCUUUCUGUUUUAUCAUCUGGAAAUUUAAUUUCCAACUCGUCGAUGUUGCGAUCUCAUUGCAAUGUAUGCGAUGUUAUCUAUCUCUUGCGACGACGAAUGCCUUGGCUCGAGGAUCGUUGAAGGACGCAGCGAACUGUGCUAAACAUCUCGAAUUGCAGAUUUCCGAGAAAGAAAAGGAUUCUGAACGCAUUCUGCGAGUUGAACUUGUUUCAACUCACGUGAUUGACGGUGACCGAAAUAUGCAGUCGCUCGAACUCCGAAGUUCAAGUGGUGUUCACAUGUUGUCGCAAAGUUUUGCGCCGACGUGUUCGUGGAAUUCAGCGCGUCUCUCGUUUUCGAGUUUCAUUAUGAAUUCAUUUCAUGAUGUUCGAUUGCAGUGAUGUGUCUCAGUUUUUCAUUUUUUGAAAACAUUUUUUUCCGCACGCUCACGAUCAGUCACGGGAUUAACCGGUGAAUUUAAGCAUAUCAA